This 90-nucleotide non-coding RNA is filed under the name bovine gut metagenome. RNAcentral's name for it is "THF riboswitch". It matches the Rfam family "THF (Tetrahydrofolate) riboswitch aptamer". Rfam says of the family: THF riboswitch presents a pseudoknot that joins P1-P2 and the loop of P3 and two THF binding. The record is from RNAcentral.
CAGAGUAGGAAGCGGCGCGUAAAGUGCCGGAGAAUGGGAAGUUGUCUCCGGACGAAGGAUGUCCCGCGAUGCCGUUUCCGCAUCCGCUGC